UACCAGCUCUCCGAGUGGUAGGGAUGAUUAUUGGGCUUAAAGCGUCCGUAGCCGGCUUAGCAAGUCUCCUGUUAAACUCAGCGACCUAAUCGUUGAUCCGCGGGAGAUACUACUAGGCUAGGAGGCGGGAGAGGUCGACGGUACUUCCGGGGUAGGGGUGAAAUCCUAUAAUCCCGGGAGGACCACCAGUGGCGAAGGCUGUCGACUAGAACGCGCUCGACGGUGAGGGACGAAAGCUGGGGGAGCGAACCGGAUUAGAUACCCGGGUAGUCCAGGGUGUAAACGCUGCUUGCUUGAUGUUAGUUGGGCUCCGAGCCCAAUUAGUGUCGGAGAGAAGUUGUUAAGCAAGCUGCCUGGGAAGUACGAUCGCAAGAUUGAAAACUUAAAGGAAUUGGCGGGGGAGCACAGCAACGGGUGGAGCGUGCGGUUU
Molecule: ribosomal RNA, 430 nt
Filed under: uncultured archaeon
Lineage: Archaea
Description: bacterial SSU rRNA
Rfam family: Archaeal small subunit ribosomal RNA
Source: RNAcentral